GAGUAAGGUCAGAGAACUCUUCUUGUGC
RNAcentral lists this non-coding RNA (28 nucleotides) under Rattus norvegicus (Norway rat). The record is from RNAcentral. Lineage: Eukaryota; Metazoa; Chordata; Mammalia; Rodentia; Muridae.